This 253-nucleotide ribosomal RNA is filed under the name uncultured bacterium. Its description in RNAcentral is "partial 16S ribosomal RNA". It matches the Rfam family "Bacterial small subunit ribosomal RNA", at positions 524 to 776 of the family's 1533-position model. The record is from RNAcentral.
UACGAAGGGGGCUAGCGUUGCUCGGAAUCACUGGGCGUAAAGCGCACGUAGGCGGAUCUUUAAGUCGGGGGUGAAAUCCUGGAGCUCAACUCCAGAACUGCCUUCGAUACUGUAGAUCUUGAGUCCGGGAGAGGUGAGUGGAACUGCGAGUGUAGAGGUGAAAUUCGUAGAUAUUCGCAAGAACACCAGUGGCGAAGGCGGCUCACUGGCUCAUAUCUGACGCUCAGGCGCGACAGCGUGGGGAUCAAACAGG